Molecule: ribosomal RNA, 500 nt
Filed under: uncultured bacterium
Lineage: Bacteria
Description: partial 16S ribosomal RNA
Rfam family: Bacterial small subunit ribosomal RNA
Source: RNAcentral
AUUGAACGCUGGCGGAAUGCUUUACACAUGCAAGUCGAACGGCAGCACGGACUUCGGUCUGGUGGCGAGUGGCGAACGGGUGAGUAAUGUAUCGGAACGUGCCCAGUCGUGGGGGAUAACGUAGUGAAAAUUACGCUAAUACCGCAUACGAUCUAUGGAUGAAAGCGGGGGAUCGCAAGACCUCGCGCGAUUGGAGCGGCCGAUAUCAGAUUAGGUAGUUGGUGGGGUAAAGGCCCACCAAGCCAACGAUCUGUAGCUGGUCUGAGAGGACGGCCAGACAUACGGGAACUGAGACACGGUCCAGACUCCUACGGAAGGCAGCAGUGGGAAAUUUUGGACAAUGGGCGCAAGCCUGAUCCAGCCAUUCCGCGUGGAGGAUGAAGGCCCUCGGGUUGUAAACUGCUUUUGUACAGAACGAAAAGGUUUCUACUAAUACUAGGAGCUCAUGACGGUACUGUAAGAAUAAGCACCGGCUAACUACGUGCCAGCAGCCGCCGUAA